GCGUAAAUACUACUGAAGGAGGCCCAACUAACUUUCUGACGCUUUCUCCAUUGACUGCACUUGAGGCUCCAAGUGAAAUCUCUGGUCUUCAUGAUAGGCAUCAUUUUAUCACUGGUGCUACAAUCAUCUUUGGAGCAACCUUCAGUCUUAUCUUCAUACUGAGGAAGUUGUGGGUGUGGUGGAGCAGCGCUACAUCACCAACUGACAAUCGUUCAACCAGGGUUUGAUUUCCGCUGCUGCGAGUCCAUGCCAUCGAUAAAAGUAUCUGCUAAAUAUCAGUCAGUUAAGUUGCCUACUGCAUCAUGAAGGAUAUAUCU
This is a long non-coding RNA of Alosa sapidissima (American shad), 317 nucleotides long. RefSeq lists it as uncharacterized. The transcript is spliced from 3 exons. The record is from RefSeq and is a predicted model, not a curated record. Lineage: Eukaryota; Metazoa; Chordata; Actinopteri; Clupeiformes; Clupeidae.